UUGGUUAAAGCCAAAACAGAGGCAUAUCACUGUUAAUGAUAGAAGUGGGAACUUAUCUCUAACCAAG
RNAcentral lists this transfer RNA (67 nucleotides) under Metapenaeopsis dalei. RNAcentral's name for it is "tRNA-Asn". The record is from RNAcentral. Lineage: Eukaryota; Metazoa; Arthropoda; Malacostraca; Decapoda; Penaeidae.